RNAcentral lists this ribosomal RNA (497 nucleotides) under uncultured bacterium. Its description in RNAcentral is "partial 16S ribosomal RNA". It matches the Rfam family "Bacterial small subunit ribosomal RNA", at positions 28 to 507 of the family's 1533-position model. The record is from RNAcentral.
GAUGAACGCUGGCGGCGUGCCUAAUACAUGCAAGUCGAGCGAACGGACGAGAAGCUUGCUUCUCUGAUGUUAGCGGCGGACGGGUGAGUAACACGUGGAUAACCUACCUAUAAGACUGGGAUAACUUCGUUAAACCGGAGCUAAUACCGGAUAAUAUUUUGAACCGCAUGGUUCAAAAGUGAACGACGGUCUUGCUGUCACUUAUAGAUGGAUCCGCGCUGCAUUAGCUAGUUGGUAAGGUAACGGCUUACCAAGGCAACGAUGUAUAGCCGACCUGAGAGGGUGAUCGGCCACACUGGAACUGAGACACGGUCCAGACUCCUACGGGAGGCAGCAGUAGGGAAUCUUCCGCAAUGGGCGAAAGCCUGACGGAGCAACGCCGCGUGAGUGAUGAAGGUCUUCGGAUCGUAAAACUCUGUUAUUAGGGAAGAACAGAUGUGUAAGUAACUGUGCACAUCUUGACGGUACCUAAUCAGAAAGCCACGGCUAACUACGUG